UCCUGGUUAACCCAGGCAGUCUCGUUAGAGUUCCCACCAUUACGUGCUGGCAACUAACGAUAAGGGUUGCGCUCGUUGCGGGACUUAACCCAACACCUCACGGCACGAGCUGACGACAGCCAUGCAGCACCUGUGCAGAAGUCCCGAAGGACUAUAACAUUUCUGCUAUAUUCUUCUGCAUGUCAAGUCUGGGUAAGGUUCUUCGCGUUGCAUCGAAUUAAACCACAUGCUCCACUGCUUGUGCGGGUCCCCGUCAAUUCUUUUGAGUUUCACCCUUGCGGGCGUACUCCCCAGGCGGCAUACUUAACGCGUUCGCUACGGCACAACCGGGGUUGAGUCCGGUUACACCAAGUAUGCAUCGUUUACGGCUAGGACUAC
This 378-nucleotide unclassified non-coding RNA is filed under the name uncultured Chlamydiales bacterium. Its description in RNAcentral is "contains 16S-23S intergenic spacer region". Lineage: Bacteria; Pseudomonadati; Chlamydiota; Chlamydiia; Chlamydiales. The record is from RNAcentral.